GGUGGCGUAGCCAAGUGGUAAGGCCAGAGUCUGCAAAACUCUUAUUCGUCGGUUCGAUUCCGACCGCCACCUCCA
This 75-nucleotide transfer RNA is filed under the name Candidatus Poribacteria bacterium. Its description in RNAcentral is "tRNA-Cys". It matches the Rfam family "tRNA". From Rfam's summary of the family: Transfer RNA (tRNA) molecules are approximately 80 nucleotides in length. Lineage: Bacteria; Candidatus Poribacteria. The record is from RNAcentral.